This is a transfer RNA of 85 nucleotides. It matches the Rfam family "tRNA". Rfam says of the family: Transfer RNA (tRNA) molecules are approximately 80 nucleotides in length. Their secondary structure includes four short double-helical elements and three loops (D, anti-codon, and T loops). The record is from Rfam.
GGGACUGUGGUGUAGUGGUAGCAUGUUCGCUUUGGGAUUCUGAUCACGUUGCGAAUGGUCCGGGGUUCAAUCCCCUGCUGUCCCC